UACGUAGGGUGCAAGCGUUGUCCGGAAUUAUUGGGCGUAAAGAGCUUGUAGGCGGUUUGUCGCGUCUGCUGUGAAAUUUCGGGGCUCAACCCCGAACUUGCAGUGGGUACGGGCAGACUAGAGUGUGGUAGGGGAGACUGGAAUUCCUGGUGUAGCGGUGAAAUGCGCAGAUAUCAGGAGGAACACCGAUGCGAAGGCAGGUCUCUGGGCCAUAACUGACGCUGAGAAGCGAAAAGCAUGGGGGAGCGAACAGG
This 254-nucleotide ribosomal RNA is filed under the name uncultured bacterium. Its description in RNAcentral is "partial 16S ribosomal RNA". It matches the Rfam family "Bacterial small subunit ribosomal RNA", at positions 524 to 776 of the family's 1533-position model. The record is from RNAcentral.